This 256-nucleotide ribosomal RNA is filed under the name uncultured bacterium. RNAcentral's name for it is "partial 16S ribosomal RNA". It matches the Rfam family "Bacterial small subunit ribosomal RNA", at positions 524 to 776 of the family's 1533-position model. The record is from RNAcentral.
UACGUAGGGUGCAAGCGUUAAUCGGAAUUACUGGGCGUAAAGCGUGCGCAGGCGGUUUUGUAAGUCUGUCGUGAAAGCCCCGGGCUCAACCUGGGAAUUGCGAUGGAGACUGCAAGGCUUGAAUCUGGCAGAGGGGGGUAGAAUUCCACGUGUAGCAGGUGAAAUGCGUAGAGAUGAUGGAGGAACACCGAUGGCGAAGGCAGCCCCCUGGGUCAAGAUUGACGCUCGAUGCACGAAAGCGUGGGGAGCAAACAGG